AAUAGAUACCCGGGUAGUCCACGCCGUAAACGAUGGAUGCUAGCUAUUGGGGGGAAUCGACCCCCUCCGAAGCGAAGCUAACGCGUUAAGCAUCCCGCCUGAGUAGUACGAGCGCAAGCUUAAAACUCAAAGGAAUUGACGGGGACCCGCACAAGCGGUGGAGCGUGUGGUUUAAUUCGAUGGUAAACGAAGAACCUUACCAAGGUUUGACAUCCCGGUAGCCGUUCUCCGAAAGGAGAAUUUCAUUUAGUUGGACCGGUGACAGGUGAUGCAUGGCCGUCGUCAGCUCGUGUCGUGAGAUGUUGGGUUAAGUCCCGCAACGAGCACAACCCUUAUGAUUUAGUUGGAUUUUCUAAACAGACUGCCCUGGUAACAGGGAGGAAGGAGGGGAUGAUGUCAGGUCAGUAUUUCCCUUACACCUUGGGGCGACACACGCGCUACAAUGGCCGGUACAAUGGGCAGCUAAGCCGCGAGGUGGAGCAAAUCCCAUCAAAGCCGGUCCCAGUUCGGAUUGCAGGCUGAAACCCGCUGCAUGAAGCCGGAAUCGCUAGUAACC
This 556-nucleotide ribosomal RNA is filed under the name uncultured bacterium. RNAcentral's name for it is "bacterial SSU rRNA". It matches the Rfam family "Bacterial small subunit ribosomal RNA", at positions 777 to 1343 of the family's 1533-position model. The record is from RNAcentral.